AUAGGGAUGUGUUCUCAUUGCUUUUCUGAUGCAGCAUGUCAGUCAGCUAACUCAUGGAGUUAUUCGAUGAACUUCAGAUUGAGGGUUUCGUCUUAAUCUUAGACUCGUAUAUCUAGUCUUGCAGCCAGAGAGCCAGUUAACCUCACACACACACAUUUGUUUCUGGUCCAUCCUUAUGGGGUCCUGGGAUUUCUAUCUCACAUAAACUGAUUUCAUGGUUAACCUCACACAUGCACACACACUUUUCUUGUUUAUCCUUAUAGGGCCCUCUCGUCUCAUUCACACUUUGAGUGACUUCACAUCAUUUGUACAACACAUUUCAGCAUCUAACCUCAGGUUAUUACAUGCAUAUAUUGUUAUACUCUGAGCUGUUAUAUGUUUUAAAGUAUAUCUUGAAUAUGGACCAGUGCAGCUCCCUAUUUGUUCUUGUUGGACCUCUAGAGCAUGCCAUGCACUCUGCUUUAAGUUAUGUGCCGUUUAAGAAACUGUUUUCAAAUAAAGUCAUUUUGGUAACUUGUGAGUAUCUCAACAUGCAUCAUUACUAUAAGUUCUAAAUGCAGUCUUUUUUUCAAUCUGAAUCCCAGGUGACCAACAAUCAGGCUGCUGCUGUCGCAGUGGACAACUCUUCAGAUAUGACUUUCCUUGGUGAAUGUCUCUCAAAUGCAGCUACAGACCAGGUGGUCAACAAUCAGGCUCCUGCUGUCGCAGUGGACAACUCUUCAGAUAUGACUUCCCUUGGCGAAUGUCUCUCAAAUGCAGCUACAGACCAGAGAAACCCACUGCUGUAAAAGAAACUGGAGACCAC
Molecule: long non-coding RNA, 805 nt
Organism: Pseudoliparis swirei
Lineage: Eukaryota; Metazoa; Chordata; Actinopteri; Perciformes; Liparidae
Exons: 3
Source: RefSeq, a predicted model, not a curated record